AAAAUGGAAAUGGAAAGGGAACUUUUCUCUUUCCCAUGCACUGGGAGGUGCAUAAAUUCAGAAGGCAGAAAUAUGUGAACUGCUGAGAGAGGUGGGUACUUUUUGAAGCAAUCAAAGGGUUGAAAGAUUGAUUCGGCAUGUAGAUUGGAUUUAAUUCGAAGCAGCUUUGUUCUAAUGAGGACUACUGGGAUACAAAGACGGCAGCCGCUUAUGGCCACCAGUUGGGAACUUCGACUCGCAGCAACCUGUCAAGAAUUUCAAGAAACUGCCAGAGAAAUACAGCUCAGUGUUGGCUUGGAAGCUCUUGUGUCCUUGUUGGGUGACCCAGCAGAACUGCCGGAUCCGUACUGCUUCCAGGGGAAAAGCCUGUAA
Molecule: long non-coding RNA, 372 nt
Filed under: Athene cunicularia (burrowing owl)
Lineage: Eukaryota; Metazoa; Chordata; Aves; Strigiformes; Strigidae
Description: lncRNA (ENSACUG00000011946.1)
Source: RNAcentral